AGAGUUUGAUCCUGGCUCAGGACGAACGCUGGCGGCGUGCUUAACACAUGCAAGUCGAACGGACCUUAUUUUAAAGCUUGCUUUUUUAUAAGGUUAGUGGCGGACGGGUGAGUAACACGUGGAUAAUCUGCCUGUAACACUGGGAUAACACCGUGAAAAUGGUGCUAAUACCGGAUACCUCGAUUGGAGCGCAUGCUUUGAUCAAGAAAGCUUUAGCGGUUACAGAUGAAUCCGCGGCUGAUUAGCUAGUUGGUAGGGUAACGGCCUACCAAGGCGACGAUCAGUAGCCGGCCUGAGAGGGUGAACGGCCACACUGGGACUGAGACACGGCCCAGACUCCUACGGGAGGCAGCAGUGGGGAAUAUUCCGCAAUGGGCGAAAGCCUGACGGAGCAACGCCGCGUGAGUGAGGAAGGCCUUCGGGUUGUAAAGCUCUGUCUUAUGGGAAGAAGAAAGUGACGGUACCAUAGGAGGAAGCCACGGCUAACUACGUACCAGCAGCCGCGGUAAAACGUAGGUGGCAAGCGUUGUCCGGAAUUACUGGGCGUAAAGGGCGCGCAGGCGGGCUCUUAAGUCAGGUGUGUAAUCUAUCGGCUCAACCGAUAGUUUGCAUCUGAUACUGGGAGUCUUGAGUGCAGGAGAGGGCAGUGGAAUUCCUAGUGUAGCGGUGAAAUGCGUAGAUAUUAGGAGGAACACCAGUGGCGAAGGCGGCUGCCUGGACUGUAACUGACGCUGAGGCGCGAAAGCGUGGGGAGCGAACAGGAUUAGAUACCCUGGUAGUCCACGCCGUAAACGAUGGGUACUAGGUGUAGGGGGUAUCGACCCCCUCUGUGCCGGAGUUAACACAAUAAGUACCCCGCCUGGGGAGUACGGCCGCAAGGUUGAAACUCAAAGGAAUUGACGGGGGCCCGCACAAGCGGUGGAGCAUGUGGUUUAAUUCGACGCAACGCGAAGAACCUUACCAGGCCUUGACAUCCUCUGAUAACCUAAGAGAUUAGGCAUUUGAUCUUCGGAUCGACAGAGAGACAGGUGGUGCAUGGUUGUCGUCAGCUCGUGUCGUGAGAUGUUGGGUUAAGUCCCGCAACGAGCGCAACCCUUAUCAUUAGUUGCCAGCACUUCGGGUGGGCACUCUAAAGAGACUGCCGGUGACAAACCGGAGGAAGGUGGGGACGACGUCAAAUCAUCAUGCCCUUUAUGGCCUGGGCCACACACGUGCUACAAUGGUCUGUACAAAGGGUUGCUAAGUCGCGAGACGGAGCUAAUCCCAUAAAGCCGAUCUCAGUUCGGAUUGUAGGCUGCAACUCGCCUACAUGAAGUCGGAAUCGCUAGUAAUCGCGGAUCAGAAUGCCGCGGUGAAUACGUUCCCGGGCCUUGUACACACCGCCCGUCACACCACGAAAGUUAGCAACACCCGAAGCCGAUGAAGCAACCUUUUAGGAGCAAGUCGUCGAAGGUGGGGUUGAUGAUUGGGGUGAAGUCGUAACAAGGUAACC
Molecule: ribosomal RNA, 1492 nt
Filed under: uncultured bacterium
Lineage: Bacteria
Description: bacterial SSU rRNA
Rfam family: Bacterial small subunit ribosomal RNA
Source: RNAcentral